RNAcentral lists this ribosomal RNA (218 nucleotides) under Fusarium oxysporum f. sp. narcissi. Its description in RNAcentral is "partial 28S ribosomal RNA". It matches the Rfam family "Eukaryotic large subunit ribosomal RNA", at positions 3175 to 3399 of the family's 3401-position model. The record is from RNAcentral. Lineage: Eukaryota; Fungi; Ascomycota; Sordariomycetes; Hypocreales; Nectriaceae.
ACGUAUAGAUGGACAAGAAUAGGCUUCGGCUUAGCGUCUUAGCAGGCCAUUCUUCCACGGCGCUCGAAGCGCGUCGUGGUAUUUCGCGUAUUGUAAUUUCAACACGAGCGGGGUCAAAUCCUUUGCAGACGACUUAGCUGUGCGAAACGGUCCUGUAAGCAGUAGAGUAGCCUUGUUGUUACGAUCUGCUGAGGGUAAGCCGUCCUUCGCCUCGAUUU